UGUUCCAUGGUGUAAUAUGGUUAGCACUCUGGAUUCUGAAUCCAGCGAUCCGAGUUCAAAUCUCGGUGGGACCU
Non-coding RNA from Sinocyclocheilus rhinocerous, 74 nucleotides. The record is from the annotation of a RefSeq genome assembly. NCBI's taxonomy places the organism in Eukaryota, Metazoa, Chordata, Actinopteri, Cypriniformes, Cyprinidae.